GCUCCAGGAAGGCCAAGGGUAGCUCCAAAUAGUCCUGUAAUUUUUUACGUCCGUUUGGAAUACAUGCCUGGUCUUGAAUUAGAAGAAUAGGAGUCCCGUCCAUCUUUGUCUCAAAUUUGCCAUUAGCAUUCACUGAUGUGAGUUAUUGUGUUGAGUGCCUUCAUUAUUAAAUUCAAUUUUUUUCCAAUAUUGUACAAAUUGAGAAGUUCUCAUUUCUUGGUAUGAGAUGUGAAUAUCAAGAAGCUGAACAUCUUUAUUACAACCAGAAGCCCCUAUUAUUUUUUUAUUUUUUUCAUAAUUUUGAGACCAAGUAUAUGAGUUUCUGAUCUAAAAACCUUUGCUAGUUCAUCCCAUAGCAAAGGGCUAUUACUAGCUUAACUUAGUUCUUGUUUCAUACUUUCAUUUUUGUAAAACAACAGAAUCAAUGAUAUUAUUAUUGAAGUUUCAUGAUCUGAGAUUGUCCAGCAAAGAUAUUAUUGCUGUACUCUCUUCACUCACAUAGUUUGUGGGUCCCACAUGUUGGGCCCAUAAUGCAUGCGUGUGACAGUGGGAGUACACAGCCAUCCUAUUUUAAUAAUUUUCAUUAGGUUUACAAUUGUUAAUGAUAGAACAUAAAAUUGAUAAUUAUUGUCCUGGAUUUUGAUGCAUGUGGAUUAUUUCUCGAGUUCAAAUUGGUCAGUUUCAGUUCAUUCUGAGAAAACUCACAUAGCAAAACGAAAAGUCUGUUACUAAGACAAAACAGUAGAACAGACUCUAACAACAAUCAACCAAGCAAACAUUAAAACAGAGUCUGUUAGUACAGUUAUUGAAAGGUUAUAGUAUCAUUAGUUAACCUGUCAGGAACUGUGUAUCAACUUGUGCACUUGUGUGUAAGAUUAAUAGCAAAUUAUCAUUCUCUUCUUUUUCUUUUCUACAUUUUUCAUGUCCAUUGUGGAUUCCUACAGAAUCCACUUGUAUCAGGUUUUAUUCCAGUUAUCUUUCCAUUACUGAUAUGGUAAGAGAGAGUCGUGUUUUGUAUAGUUUGUAUAUGAUUUUACCUGAAUUUUGCCUACAAAUGAAAUUCUUUUAGCUGAGAAGGGAAGUAUCACUUCCAAUGCCUUUGUUUGAGCAGAAAAUGAAGAAGUCUUAAUGGUAGAUGCAUGUUGCUGUUACUUGCCAACUAAAGGCUCAA
Molecule: unclassified non-coding RNA, 1171 nt
Filed under: Hevea brasiliensis (rubber tree)
Lineage: Eukaryota; Viridiplantae; Streptophyta; Magnoliopsida; Malpighiales; Euphorbiaceae
Source: RNAcentral